CCUACGGGUGGCAGCAGUGAGGAAUAUUGGUCAAUGGACGAGAGUCUGAACCAGCCAAGUAGCGUGAAGGAUGACUGCCCUAUGGGUUGUAAACUUCUUUUAUAUGGGAAUAAAAUGUUCCACGUGUGGGAUUUUGUAUGUACCAUAUGAAUAAGGAUCGGCUAACUCCGUGCCAGCAGCCGCGGUAAUACGGAGGAUCCGAUCGUUAUCCGGAUUUAUUGGGUUUAAAGGGAGCGUAGGUGGAUUGUUAAGUCAGUUGUGAAAGUUUGCGGCUCAACCGGAAAAUUGCAGUUGAAACUGGCAGUCUUGAGUACAGUAGAGGUGGGCGGAAUUCGUGGUGUAGCGGUGAAAUGCUUAGAUAUCACGAAGAACUCCGAUUGCGAAGGCAGUUCACUGGACUGCAACUGACACUGAGGCUCGAAAGUGUGGGUAUCAAACAGGAUUAGAUACCCCUGUAGUC
RNAcentral lists this ribosomal RNA (460 nucleotides) under uncultured bacterium. RNAcentral describes it as "partial 16S ribosomal RNA". It matches the Rfam family "Bacterial small subunit ribosomal RNA", at positions 338 to 795 of the family's 1533-position model. The record is from RNAcentral.